RNAcentral lists this ribosomal RNA (200 nucleotides) under uncultured prokaryote. Its description in RNAcentral is "partial 16S ribosomal RNA". It matches the Rfam family "Bacterial small subunit ribosomal RNA", at positions 1183 to 1382 of the family's 1533-position model. The record is from RNAcentral.
CGUCAAGUCCUCAUGGCCCUUAUGGGCUGGGCUACACACGUGCUACAAUGGCGGUGACAGGAGGGCCGCGAAGGGGCAACCCUUAGCUAAUCUCUAAAAGCCGUCUCAGUUCAGAUUGUCCUCUGCAACUCGAGGGCAUGAAGUCGGAAUCGCUAGUAAUCGCGGAUCAGCAUGCCGCGGUGAAUACGUUCCCGGGCCUU